UUCACCUCUCAGUAGGCAGACUGAGCCUAUUUUUCUAGAAAAGGGUUAAAACUAGGAAGAAAAUAGUGCUAAGGCUUGAACAUGUUGAGCCCAACCUCAGAUCUAAGAGAAUGCUGGUAGAGGAGGUAAGAAGAGAAGAAAGGGCCAAAUGAUCCAGUUCUAAGUUUCAAUCUUUUUAUUAUUAAUAUUAUUGUAAAGAUAAUAAAGUCUUAAGGUUAACUUCUAAAAAAAAAAAUACCCCAAUACUGCAGAUUCCUGGUCAUUCUCCUUCCUCAAAGGACCCUUUUAGUUUGGUGAGUAUACUUCUCUCCACAAAUCAGUGAAAGAUGUGCUUACCCCAACUGGGGCAAAGGAUC
This 356-nucleotide long non-coding RNA is filed under the name Homo sapiens (human). RNAcentral describes it as "non-protein coding lnc-TBX2-5:1". Lineage: Eukaryota; Metazoa; Chordata; Mammalia; Primates; Hominidae. The record is from RNAcentral.